Molecule: long non-coding RNA, 535 nt
Filed under: Triticum aestivum (bread wheat)
Lineage: Eukaryota; Viridiplantae; Streptophyta; Magnoliopsida; Poales; Poaceae
Description: long non-coding RNA (TAES_LNC025105)
Source: RNAcentral
GGUCAACAUUAGGAUACAUUUAUUAUUGAGAGAAACAGAAGAUAGAUUUAUAUCUUACAUCAACAUUAAGUAGUAAUGUAAGAUGUGCUGAAUAACAAAGAAGAUUAUGGAUGGUAUACCGUCAAAGUAAACGUCUGGGCUUUUGCAAAGUAAUUUCAUCGAUAUAUUUUCUGUAGAACAUGCUAUAGAUGUUCAGAAACACCUCGACACACCAGUGCUUAUCUUACAAAAUCCACGGUCGGGCCGUCUGCUGCUACGUCUGGCCGCAGUGUGCUGUGGGCGUUUGUCAGAUGUAGAGUACUGCAUAAGAAAAUAUUUACAUGUAUUAGGCAUUAGUUUAAAUGAUAAUUACAUGUAUAUGUUUGUGGGCAUGACGCCCAUCUGAUCUGGCCGUUCCGUGUAUGUGGGAAUAAUGCCCAUCCGAUCUGGCCGCUCCCUGCAUUUGCCAAAGCUCGAGAAAGGGAAACGGCCAAAUCCUACCUUUAAUUAAGCGGAGAGAAAUUGAUCUCGCCAUGGCCGUCAAAUAGCAAUCAAU